CACCUAUGCUGUUAGCAUUAAUC
RNAcentral lists this microRNA (23 nucleotides) under Danio rerio (zebrafish). RNAcentral describes it as "Dre-Mir-155_3p* (star (passenger))". The record is from RNAcentral. Lineage: Eukaryota; Metazoa; Chordata; Actinopteri; Cypriniformes; Danionidae.